UUAUUUCAGUAUGGCUUCAGUUCUAUACAUAAAGCACAACAAUAUGUUAAUACUUGAGUGUUUAUGAAAAAAUAACAACCUGAUUAGCGAUGCUAUUUAUGAACGACAAAGGCACAAGUUUUCACAACAAUUUCAAAUUAUAGUUUCCAAAGUAAAUGAUAACUUGAAAGAAACUCUUUUCUAUGCAUGGGUGUUAUAACUUGAAUCAAGUGCAUAAUAAGCUAAGCAAGUACACCAAAUUAUAGCAUUAAAAGAAGGCCAAAUCAGCCAAUGUCUAAAACUUAGGAUUAGCUUAUUUACAAACAAAUAAUUCCAGAUGCCAUCCAUGAGGUUCAGAGAAAUCCCAUAGAGGAAGCACAGUUAUUUAAAGAUCAAAUUAAAUAAACAACUAAAUGGAUAAAAAUAAGCCCUGUAAAGUUUGAAAAUGAAACAAAAUUUCACCAACUUGAAAUUUACUCUAGCCCUUUAAAAAAAUCUUUAUAGAAUUGUGUACAUGCCACAUAAUAUUUCAGCACCAUCCCUAAAUUUUUGGGUUUAAACUUUGAAGUGUAAUGAUAGUUAAGUCUGG
Molecule: unclassified non-coding RNA, 568 nt
Filed under: Hevea brasiliensis (rubber tree)
Lineage: Eukaryota; Viridiplantae; Streptophyta; Magnoliopsida; Malpighiales; Euphorbiaceae
Source: RNAcentral